Nicotiana attenuata is the source of this 1360-nucleotide RNA transcript. It is a transcript of the gene named shugoshin-1-like, with no coding region annotated. The record is from RefSeq and is a predicted model, not a curated record. Lineage: Eukaryota; Viridiplantae; Streptophyta; Magnoliopsida; Solanales; Solanaceae. The transcript is spliced from 11 exons.
UACAAAUGGACCUCAAAUAAGGACCUAAAGUCCGACUUACAUUCGGCCCCAAUUUCAAAUUACAUUUCGGCGGAAUACCCCUCGGCGGCGAGGUUCCGGCGAAACUCCUCACAAAUCUCUCUCUCCCAUCGAGUUCUCCACCACUGCUUAAAGAGGAAAUUGAUGAAUUAACCAAAAGUAGGAAAAGCAAUGGAGGUUAAUUUGGUGAAUACUCCAAGAAAAAAGCUUGGUGAUAUCAGCAACUUACCGCUGCGAAAGAGAUUCACUAGCGAAGAUAAGAAGCCAGAACAUAUCCCAACUGCUUCUAAAGAGUACAUAGAAAUGAUCCAGAAGGAAAAUUUAGUGUUGAUGAAGAUGUUAGCAGAAAGAAACAAAAUCAUUGAAAUAACUGGAGUAGAGAUAGAGAAACUGAGAACUAAUGUGCAGAAACUGCUGCAACAGAACCAGCAGCUUGCUCAAGCAAACAGUAAAAUGCUUGCGGAACUAAAUUCAAAUAAAGAUAGGCUAAAAGCAUUACAACAUGAGCUUGGAUGCACAAAGGGUUUACUUAAGGCUAGAAAGUUUGAAGCAGAGGAGCAACCAAGAACUAAUAUGUGCCAAAAUCUGAAUGAUGAGUAUUCGAAGGUGAAACACACAAAGUGUGAGCAGACAGGAGAUCUAUUGUUAGGAAAUGGAGAUGAUGACAAAGCUGUAAAUCUCAAAAGAAGGCCUCGGUCAAAGAGUGUGGGCUCUUCUGAGCCAGUUCAAUCUGAGGAUAAGACGGAAAACAAAAGACCUUGUAUAAGGAGGCAAUCUGCUCGGCUUAACCCUGAGGCGCUGAAACUCAAUGAAGAUUCUUUCGAUGUGCAAGGCAAAUGUGCUCUGCACCCUCCAACAAGUGAUCCAGUGCAAGAAAAUGGUUUGAAUUCCAUUAGCAUAUCAUCUGAUGGUCUAGAGUGCAAUCCUUUAUUGAGGUUUGAACCUGUACAGUUGGGAUCAUCUCUCCGUAGGCCAUCAAGGGAGGCAGCUAAGAAGGUCCAGUCAUACAAGGAAAUUCCUGUAAACAUAAAAAUGCGAAGACCACAAUGAACAACGUACUCGGUGUAAUUACCUCUUUGAUAUCGGAGCAAGUGCUGAAUGUUUCGCCAUAUCAGCAAUAUUUCCUCCACGUAAGCAUGGUCACCGGUCAGAGGUGUUUAUUAGUACUCAUUCCGUCAAGUACAAGUGUUCAAAUGGAAAACUUAUAAGUUUAUCUACCGGGUUGGCAAUUGGAUACAAGUUUAAGUGGUCCGGAGGCCAUUUUGCCUUUUAUAUAACAAAAAACUUUUAUUUUUACCCUAUUUGUUAAGUAUAGUUUCCCAACAAAGGGGAUUCAAUUGAA